GAUGAACGCUGGCGGCGUGCCUAAUACAUGCAAGUCGAGCGAACGGACGAGAAGCUUGCUUCUCUGAUGUUAGCGGCGGACGGGUGAGUAACACGUGGAUAACCUACCUAUAAGACUGGGAUAACUUCGGGAAACCGGAGCUAAUACCGGAUAAUAUUUUGAACCGCAUGGUUCAAAAGUGAAAGACGGUCUUGCUGUCACUUAUAGAUGGAUCCGCGCUGCAUUAGCUAGUUGGUAAGGUAACGGCUUACCAAGGCAACGAUGCAUAGCCGACCUGAGAGGGUGAUCGGCCACACUGGAACUGAGACACGGUCCAGACUCCUACGGGAGGCAGCAGUAGGGAAUCUGCCGCAAUGGGCGAAAGCCUGACGGAGCAACGCCGCGUGAGUGAUGAAGGUCUUCGGAUCGUAAAACUCUGUUAUUAGGGAAGAACAUAUGUGUAAGUAACUGUGCACAUCUUGACGGUACCUAAUCAGAAAGCCACGGCUAACUACGUG
Molecule: ribosomal RNA, 497 nt
Filed under: uncultured bacterium
Lineage: Bacteria
Description: partial 16S ribosomal RNA
Rfam family: Bacterial small subunit ribosomal RNA
Source: RNAcentral